This 304-nucleotide RNase P RNA is filed under the name Nitrosospira sp. NpAV. Its description in RNAcentral is "bacterial RNase P". It matches the Rfam family "Bacterial RNase P class A". Rfam says of the family: Ribonuclease P (RNase P) is a ubiquitous endoribonuclease, found in archaea, bacteria and eukarya as well as chloroplasts and mitochondria. Lineage: Bacteria; Pseudomonadati; Pseudomonadota; Betaproteobacteria; Nitrosomonadales; Nitrosomonadaceae. The record is from RNAcentral.
GAAGCUGGCUAGACAGUCGCCGCCCACCUUUCGGUUAUGGAAGGCAGGGGGGAGGAAAGUCCGGGCUCCACAGAGCAGGAUGCCGGUUAAUGGCCGGCCACCGUGAGGUGAGGAAGAGGGCCACAGAGACGAGCGUAUUAAGUUACGGUGAAACGCGGUAACCUCCAUCCGGAGCAAGACCAAAUAGGCAGGCGAUGAUGCUGCUCGCUGAGCCUGCGGGUAGGUUGCUUGAGCGUACGGGUAACCGUACGUCUAGAGGAAUGAUUGUCCAAGACAGAACCCGGCUUAUCGGCCAGCUUCAUUC